AUGACGAACACAAAGGGAAAGAGGAGAGGCACCCGAUGUAUGUUCUCCAGGCCUUGUGGAAAACAUGGAAUUUUUCCUUUGGCCACGUACAUGCGAAUGUAUAAGAAAGGUGAUACUGUAGACAUCAAGGGAAUGGGAACUGUUCAAAAAGGAAGCCGCACAAGUGUCACCAUGGCAAAGCUGGAAGAGUCUACGAUGUUCCCCAGCAUGCUGUUGGCAUUGCUGUAGACAAACAAGCUAAGGGCAAGAUUCCUGCCAAGAGAACUAAUGUGCGUAUUGAGCACAUGAAGCACUCUAAGAGCCGAGACAGCUUCCUGAGACGCGUGAAGGAAAAUGAUCAGAAAAAGAAAGAGGCCACAGAGAAAGGUACCUGGAAAAAAAACAAAAAAAAGAGAAAGGUACCUGGGUUCAACUAAGCUCCAGGCUGCUCCACCCAAAGAUGCACACUUUGUGAGAACCAACAGGAAGGAGCCCGAGCUGCUGGAACCUAUUCCCUGUGAAUUCAUGGCAUAAUA
RNAcentral lists this long non-coding RNA (515 nucleotides) under Homo sapiens (human). Its description in RNAcentral is "non-protein coding lnc-TNFAIP2-3:1". Lineage: Eukaryota; Metazoa; Chordata; Mammalia; Primates; Hominidae. The record is from RNAcentral.